CAAGAUCCAUUCCCCCAAUCUUGGGAGUAGAGGAGCUGAGCAUCCGGCGGCUAGCGAGGUAGCAAUAACACUGCAUUCCAUUUCUUCUUCCUCUCAUCCUCCUCCUCCUCGAAUUGAAUGAAUUCAAUUGGACGGGC
This is a non-coding RNA of Caenorhabditis elegans, 137 nucleotides long. NCBI's taxonomy places the organism in Eukaryota, Metazoa, Nematoda, Chromadorea, Rhabditida, Rhabditidae. The record is from Ensembl.